Octopus bimaculoides (California two-spot octopus) is the source of this 1957-nucleotide long non-coding RNA. RefSeq lists it as uncharacterized. Lineage: Eukaryota; Metazoa; Mollusca; Cephalopoda; Octopoda; Octopodidae. The record is from RefSeq and is a predicted model, not a curated record.
GAAGUACGUUUGACUGUUGACAGUUGUGUCUGUGCUGAUAUAGAAAUUAUAUUGUGAUACUGAGUGGACGUUAUAUCCAUCCAACCUUUUGAGAAUAAUAACACUGUACGAUCCCCAGUCGAACAGUGCUGGAUAGAACCAUUUUAUCGACGACUUCGGAAUAUAACAAUAUCUGCCAGAGCGACAACCUUAGUCAAAAGACAGAUACAACCGAGGCAAAAGACCGCUUUACAACAGUGGCGACGAGGAAGAGCAAAUUUACGCGGAGUGAAAAAGAAAACAUUCACACGGAGAGUUUAAACUAAUUCACGUGGAAAAUUAAACACCUCGACAAAAAAGAGACAAAAAUCUUGAAAUAUGGAAGACUUGUUAGCUGGGAUAGUUGAGUUGCAAAAACAGCAACAACUCAAGGAACAAUGAAAACAACAACAAGAAUUGCAACAGCAAAUGAAGUUGAUAACCAGUCUGGAGAAUACAUUUUCACCUGACUAUGUAGCAAAUUCCAUAAGCGAAUUCAAAUAUAACCCCGAAGAAGUAACCUUCGAGGCUUACCGUCGAAUAUUUCAAAAUCUUUUGAAAUAGAAUGUCAGGAUUGGACGGACGAAAUGAAAAUGCUUCUAGUGUUAAGAAAACUAGCGACAGCAGAGCAUGAAAAAUAUAGUAACUUCAUAUUGUUCAAAAAGUUUAGUGAAAAGAGCUCACUGUUUAACACUAGAUGGAAAGUUUUAAAUAUAGAAAAGAGUGAAGAUGAAGGCAUAAUGCAAGGGGUUAAGUGAUGAUACAAUGGAGGAAAUGUUAGUUGGUGUAAGAAAUAGGUACUAGAUAUAGUUGGGGACUACAUUAAAAACUAAGGAAAAGUGUAAGAGGAGGGGAUGUUUACUUUACCUACAAGAGUCUCAGUUAUUCCUAACAAGACGAACUAUAAAAGGAGUAAGAUGUAUAACCUGCAUUAAACUAUUAGGGGCUAAUAUUCGUAUGCUGUGGUGUUAUAUGUACUAUUAUGGGGUAAUGUAAGUAUUAUUAAAUUGUAAGAAAUAGAUAAUAGAUGUGGGUGGAGAGGGGGUAACAUUUAAGACUUAGAAAAAGGGAAAGAGUUGAGGUUAGUUAUUUGACUACCUACAGGAGACUCGAUUAUUCCUAAAUAGGAUGAACUAUAGAAGGGGUAAGAUGUAUAACCUGCAUUAAACUAUCAGGGGCGACUAAUUGUAUGCUGUGGAGUUAUAAGUACUAUUAUGGGGAAGUAUAAGCAUUUCUAGUGUUAUUUAUAUUUAUCGAAAGCUACACUCCACUCAACACUCAAGUUCACUAACGGAUUACGUGCUGUUAGAAUAUAAAAAAUUUCAUUUAUGCAAAGAAGCAGAUCCGCAUGAAAACUUCGUUUAUGUCAAACACCAGUGGUCUUUGAACCGUGAAUACUUCAUUGAAGACGUUAAUAUUACCCUUGGUAUCAGCAAAGCCUUCGUUAUUAUGCAAGAGGACCUCGAAGCAAAACAGUCUGCUCCCAGAUCAUGUUCUUUGGCAAAGUUCCUAUUACAACAUUUCAUCAGUGUUACCGGUACUCACUUCUAUCCGCAUUCUGUAAACUCACGCAUAUCUCAGAUUUUUGAACAAGUUUUCCUGCUGACGAUGUGUUAUCAGAACACACAUAUUCUAAUACAGAUGGUAUUAGCUUUCAUUUAUCAAGAUUCUGCACAUUAAACUGGAAGCCAGCAAUAUCCAGACUUCUUAACAUUGAAUAUGCAAAUGAUUGACCCCAUUCAUUAAAAAUUAAAUUUCUCUUUUUCAACAAGCUUACUAUUCUAUGCUGAUGAUCUGGCAAUGUAUCACUUUCUCACAUUAUACUUAUGUACUUUAGAGAACUCCUGAACUUCUUUCCUGCACGUAUAUGGUCUAUUUGGUUUCUAGUCUAACUGUCAAAAGGACAUGAUAAUAAAAUGUAUUGAACUUCUAAUCUGCA